UGGCCUACGGGGGGCAGCAGUCGGGAAUAUUGCGCAAUGGAGGAAACUCUGACGCAGUGACGCCGCGUAUAGGAAGAAGGUUUUCGGAUUGUAAACUAUUGUCGAUAGGGAAGAAAAAAGACUGUACCUAUCAAGAAAGCUCCGGCUAACUACGUGCCAGCAGCCGCGGUAAUACGUAGGAUGCGAGCGUUAUCCGGAUUCAUUGGGUUUAAAGGGUGCGCAGGCGGGCCUUUAAGCC
This 238-nucleotide ribosomal RNA is filed under the name uncultured bacterium. Its description in RNAcentral is "partial 16S ribosomal RNA". It matches the Rfam family "Bacterial small subunit ribosomal RNA", at positions 335 to 589 of the family's 1533-position model. The record is from RNAcentral.